This 72-nucleotide transfer RNA is filed under the name Takifugu rubripes (torafugu). RNAcentral describes it as "tRNA-Glu (TTC) (tRNA-Glu-TTC-10-1)". It matches the Rfam family "tRNA". Rfam says of the family: Transfer RNA (tRNA) molecules are approximately 80 nucleotides in length. Lineage: Eukaryota; Metazoa; Chordata; Actinopteri; Tetraodontiformes; Tetraodontidae. The record is from Rfam by way of RNAcentral. RNAcentral also lists the same sequence under 3 other names.
UCCCAUAUGCUCUAGUGGUCAGGAUUCCUGGCUUUCACCCAGGUGGCAUAGGUUCAAUUCCCAAUAUGGGAG